UCUGUGAGGUCUUCUCUCAUCUCUAGCCUUCCUCCUCCGUGCUCCUCCAUCGCUGUGUCUGCAUCACUCAUUUAGAAGCCCCAGAAUGACUUAUAUUUGCUGGAAUAAUGAAUUUUUUAGGAAGCAGUGUGGUCAGUUUCCAUAACAACUGAAAUAGCAGUUAGAAUUCCUGGACUGGAACUGACAGGCAGGUUGCUGCCGUUGUAGCUGCUUCUGGCAGGAUAGCUUUUAGGUUAAUUGUGAGCCUAAUCAGACACUUCUUAUACCAUAUGGCUGCUGCCUUCUUACAGGGAACAAGCAACAGCAACUCCUCUCCAUCCCCAAGCUGGCUAUUUCUUGCUCAUUUGCAAAAUAAUUUUAAGUGGGGACAAGUAAUGCACUGCCUGUCAUCUGAGUCAAAAAAGUGUUCAGGGAGAGUGUACCGUCUGGACCAAAGGGAAGAGUGACAAGGAUGGACCUCGUUAGCCCUUUGAAUGUUGUGUGCCUAUUACAACCUCUUUGUUCAUGAAGAAGGCAGUUCUGUAUCUAUUUAUAGAGAAAUGCCUUCCAAAGAACAGAUAAGGUAUCUCACAGGAUAAAGCCUGAUGAUCAAAAGGAUUGAAAAAGAUUCUAAGGUUGUCCACAAACAAGAUAUAAGGACAAUGCUGAUGUCCAAGACAGGGAUGCAAUCAUUGUCGAAAACAGAAAAUUAUUUGGAAAAUGUAAAAAUAUCCUAAAGAGCCUCAUGACAUCCCAUUAACAGGCUCCUACAGUUUUUCACAACCUUUUCUGGUACAUUUCUUUCCUUUUAUCUUUUUUAAAUCUCUUGAUCAUUAUCUUGCUAUUAUCCAAUCUAUUUUGGCUUCUUUUACUCUUCUCUGCUUUUCAUGGCCUGCCUAUUCCCCAAAUGUAACAUAGCCUAAAUUCCCAUUAAUACCUACCCAAAGCCUUGGUAGAAGUGCUUCCGUUUGGACAGUCAUCUCAUGUUACAGGUGAAAUGAGAGACUACUGCCACAAUAAUCCAGACAUCACUCAACGGCUGUGGCUUUCGGGAUAGCAGGAACUCAGAAAAUGUCUGCCAGAUACUCAAGUCUGAAAAACCAGAGUUUUAUCUGUUAUUCAGUCUUUCAGAAGGUAAAAAUGGCGUUCACCUGAAAAAACAACUAGUCCCACAGCUCAAACAAUCACACAGUGCUUUUCUUGAGAAAACCAUUCAACGUACCUGGUGUGCUGAAGUACCUACCCAUCUUCCCAUUUUGUCACACAAAAUAUUACAGUGACAAGUACUUAAGGGUCAAAAUUAAACUUUUUCAUUGCACCAUCAAGAGCAUUCUUAAGUAAAACUGGCAAUUUCUUUCUUUCUUUCUUUCACUGUGAGUUUAUGGUGGUGAAGAAUACUAGAAUGAUUGGCUUUUAUUGGCACCACAGGUUUACAGCCAGCGCUUUUUCACCAUCAGAGAAAAGCAAAUAACCUCUUAGUGUUGUAAUGAAAACAGGGGACCAGAGUUUGUGGACCACACUUUGAGAACCCUAGGGUUAAUUGGAUUUGGGGAGCGUUGUUGAGCAGCUAUAUGAAGCCCUAGACUUAGGGUUUGGAAGAUCUUGCAGGAAAAUAGUCCCUUGUGCCUUGUUUUCACUUGUCCUUUGAAAAGCAAAUAACCUUACAAAUGGGAGGAAAUGGUCAGGGAAAAGGGGUGCAUCUACUGAAAGUCCCCAUUUCUCUGGGCUCCUGUGGGUCUGGAAAGGUUCUGAAUGUUUCUCUGUACCCAGUGGUGCAAGCGAGGCCUGAAAGGAAAGUGUGGACGCUUGUUAGAACUGGGAAAGAGGAAUGCAUCAAAAGGUCCAGCAGGAGACUCCAGAGCAGGGGCUGAAUGGAAGGUAGAGGGGACACACCUCAGGGACCAACAGUACUGGCAAGACUAGGACUAGAGGAAAAGUAAAGAAAACCCUCCAGAUGGGAGACAGUCCUAACUUGGAGACUGAACUUUGAGCUUGUCUAAGUCCACUUGGGCUGUUAUAACAACAUACCAUAGACUAAAAAGCAGAAACUUAUUUCUCACUGAUCUAGAGACAGGAAAUCCAAGAUCAGACCAUCAACAGAUUCAGGGACUGGCAAGAACCCAUCUCCUGGUUCCUAUACAUCCAUCUUCUCACAGUGUCCUUACAUGGUAGAAGGGGCUAGGGAGCUCUCUGUGGCCUCUGAGCCACCAGGGAAGCCCCAAAUAAUAGAUAAUAGUUUAACUGUGAUUAUUGUUGUUAAGUCCCUAAGUCAUGUCUGACUCUAAAUUAUUCACCUCUUCAUUAUGUUAUGUUGUUGGGUUAUAACAUAAUGUUUAUUAAUUUAUUAGUUUGUAAUAUAAUGUGUGCUCAGUCCUGUCUAACUCUUUGCAGUCCCAUGGACUGUAGUCCAACAGGCUCCUCUGUCCAUGGAAUAUUCCAGGUAAGAAUAUUGGAGUGAGUUGCCAUUUCCUCCUCCAGGGGGACUUCCUGACCCAGACAUCAAAUCCAUCUCCCUUGCAUCUCCUGCUUGGCAAGUGGAUUCUUUACCACUAAUCCUAUUCACGGGGCUUCUCUGGUGGUUUAAUGGUAAAGAAUCUGCCUGCCAAUCUAGGAGAUGUGGGUUAGAUCCCUGAGUCAGGAAGGUCCCCUGGAGAAAGAAAUGGAAACCUACUCCGGUAUUCUUGCCUGGAAAAUCCCAUGGAGAGAGGAGCCCAGCAGGCUAUAGUCCUUGGGAUCACGAAAGAGUCAGACAAGACUUAGCAACUAAACAACAAUCCUAUUCGCUAAGGCUCCACCCUCAUGACCUCAACACCUCCCAAAGGCCCCACCUCCUAAUACCAUCACAUGGGCCUUUGGGAUUUAACAUAGGAGUUGGGAGGACAAAGAACUGAACUUUCAGGAUUUCUGACUACCAGAAAUCACUGGGUUAGACUAAGAAAACUCACACUUGGUUGAGUUUCCACUAUGAAGACAAAACAGGCAACUCAUGAGCUAGGCUGGGUUCACACAGAGAAAUAUUCCCAUGUGACUCCAAGGCCCGGCUGCCCUAACUGUGAGAGAUCAUGCCAUUCUAGACGUAGUCGCGUGAUUGCCACAGCUCUUUCUCCCCUGAAGGGGCCCAGGUGAGUGUUGACACUCACUCUGACCAACACCUAUAUUUCCAAAGUCCAGGCCAUUCAAGAUGGGAGUAAUGGAAGAGAAGCAUUGGGCCACUUUCCCAGACAACCUCAGGUGCAUUUACACACCAAAGGAUAUCUUUCUAAUGUUGGAGAAAUGCAGGCAUUGUGUGCUGACAAUGAACCUACUUAAUUAUAUAAACCUUUUCACUGCCAAAAACUCUAAGUAUGGUUUGACUAGAACAAAACACUUUCUUCACAUCAAUGAAAAAGACCUCUGAGUGCCCCGUCUAUGUCUCUCCCAGGUAUGUGAAAUUCCAUUGUUUUGUAAAAGCACUUUUUAAAUUUUACUUUUUUAAUUGGAGUAUAAUUGCUUCACAAUGUUGUAUUAGUUCCUGCAGGACAAUGGCGCGAAUCCGCUAUAUGUAAACAUAUGUCUCCUCCCUCCUGAGCCUCCCUCCUGCACCCCUCACCCCUCAUCCCUCCCUCUAGGUUGUCACUGAGCACCAAGCUGAGCUCCUUGUGUUACAAAGCAGCUUCCUACCAGCUAAUAUUUUACACAUGAUAGUGCAUAGAAGUCAAUGCUACUCUCUCAAUCCAUCUCACCCUCUCGUUCCCCCUCUGUGUUCACAAGCCCAUUCUCUAUGUCUGCAUCUCUAUUUCUGCCCUGUAAAUAGGUUUAUCAGUAGCAUUUUUGGAGAUUCUGUACAUGUGCAUUAAUAUACAACAUUUAUUUUUCUCUUUCUGACUUACUUUAUUCUGUAUGACAGACUCUAGAUUCAUCUACAUCACUACAAAUGACCCAAUUUCAUUUCUUUUUAUGGCUGAGUAAUAUUCCACUGUACAUAUGUACCACAUCUUCUUUAUCCAUCAUCUGUCAAUGGAAAUUUAGAUUAUUUCCAUGUCCUGGCUAUUGUAAAUAAUGCUGCAGUUAACACUGGGGUACAUGUGUCUUUUUGAAUUAUGGCUUUCUCAGGGUAUAUGCCCAGGAGUCAGAUUGCUGGGUUAUAUGGUAGUUUGAUUCCUAGUUUUUUAAGAAAUCUCCAUAGUGUUCUCCAUAGUGGUUGUAUCCAUUUACAUUCCCACCAACUAUGCAAGAAGUUCCCUUUUCUCCGCAUCCUCUCCAGCAUUUAUUGUUUGUAGAUUUUUUGAUGAUGGCCAUUCUGACCAGUGUGAGGUGCUACCUAAUGAAAUUCUGUAUUAGCUUCAAAAAAGAAAGCAAUUUGAACCCAUAACAUUAUUUGAAUCAUUGCCAAACCCCUCCCAAAGCACAAUGAUUUCAGAAUAUACAUUGUGUCUUUUACAUAUUGUGAAUAUCUUUUUGUGAGUCCCAUGAAAACUGUUUUAGAAGGCCAAGGGCAACAAGUAGCAAAUAUUUGAGGAUUUGGUGCUGGUUGGACCUGAGGAAGCUUGGUGCUUCUGGGGUUUUUUUCUGUUUUAGAUGGAGCACCUUGACUCCAUAUUAAUCUCAAACAAUGAUUCACUAUGGAGGUGAAAGAAAAAAUAGCCUAAGCUAAAUGAUACAUAGACUUUAAGGGGGUUGCUUAAACUCCCCUAACAAUAAAUCUGCUCCCUUGCCACUAUAUUAAAUUCUUCCAUUAGGUAUAUAUGUAUUGUGGGGUUACUUUCAUUAGUUCAUUUGACAUAUUUUUUGAGUUUCUGCUAUAUAUCAACAAAAUGAUAAACUUAAGCUUACAAAGAUGAGAGAAGGCUUCCUAGUCUAAAGGAGCUUAUGUUGUAGAAAGGUGACAAAGAAAUAACACUGCUUGGUACUUGCAAUGGCAGAAGCAUAGGUGAUGGAGAGAAAGACGAAGUGGGGAUGAUGGGGUGGAGAGGGGACAUCAGAACCGUGUCCUGAGGGAGAAAAGGAAUUGGCCAAGAGCAAGUGGGAAAAAAACUUGGGAUGGGCCUACGGCACAGAGAGGGAACAAGUGUGCAAGAGGGAGUCCCAGGGGUGAGGGGGUGGAAAUUGGCAAGAGAUGCCAUUCAAGGAGAUAAGGAAUGUGGGAAGAAGUGGCUUUGGGCGAGUCAUAAAGAGUUCAGUUUUAAACAUUUCAAAAUUGAGAUGCUAAUAGGACAUCCAGAAGUAAUGUCCAUUAAACGAGAGGUUUUUGAGAUCUGGUACCCAGAAUGCAAGUUCUGGCUGUAGAUAGAGACAUGGAAUUCAGCAGGACGGCAAUGUUAGGUAAGGCCAUGUAUGCAGGAGAGAUUACCCAGUGGGCUUGAGUAGAGGGAGGCUAGAGGAAAUUUGAGAUCUGGAGGCUUGGAAAUACCUGUGCCAGAGCCAGAGAAUGAAAGAGAAGAAAGCAGAAAACAAGAGCAAAUGGUGUCAUAGAAGGCAAGGGAGGAGAUACUUUUACAUCCAGGAAACUUUCAAUAAAAUAUAAGGAGAGGACUUCCCUGUUGGUCCAUUGACCAUGUCCCCCUGUGCCCUCUUCUAUUCACGGCCCCCUGCAAAGAAUGUCAUAGAUAUUUUUGAACUUUAUGUAAAUGGAAUCACACUGUAUUAGUUUUUAUCUGUUUUCUUUCAAUAUAUCAUUUUAAUGACCACAUACUAUUUCUUUGUAUUGCUAUAUCAUAAUGUAUUCAGUCUAAUGUCAUGCAUUUUACUAAAAAUUUUUUAAUUAACUAAAUACUGUGGGGACUUUCCUGGCAGUCCAGUGGAAGACUGGACUCUGCCCUUCCAGCACAGGGGGCACAGGUUAGACCCCCUGACUGAGGAACUAAGAUCCCACGUGCUACACAGCACAACCAAAAAAAUAAAAUUUAAAAAUAAAAAAAUUUUAAUUAAUAUAAAAUAAAAAUAUUGUGAAUAUCUAUGUAACAAAACCAUUAUUUUUCCUCUUAGGAUAAAUCCACUGACCUGAAAACUUUUAAGACUUUUUAUUUAUAUUACCAAAUUGCCCUCUAGAAAUGUUGCACCAACUUUAUAUUCUCAUCACAGUUUGUAAAAUGUCCAAUUUCCACGGUAUGGCCCACAAUUGAACACAAAACCCCAGAUGUAAUCCAACUAAAUUUAUCCACAAUAAAUGUCCCUACCUGUCUUAAAUAUCCUUACUUCCUUUUACAGUACAAAAAUAGACCCCAAGCACAAAUAGUCUCCAAGUUCUCUGAUAAAGACAAAAAAAGAAUGGUAGUGUUGGAAAUGACCUUGGAAUUUAUCUAGUGCAAAAAGUGCAUUUUCAGCUAAGACUACAAAAGCCCAAAGAGGAGAAAUAUCAAAGCAGACAUAUUAUCCAAUGAAAACCAAACCAGAAAAUCAUGUGUAGGAAAAAAAAGUGCAAAGAAACAAAACAAAAUGCAUUUUGGGCAACUACAUUUGGAUAGUGAUACUAUGGGAGAUUUUUCAUUUUCUCACUUUUCUGAGUUGUCUAAAUCUUCAAUAAGGAGCAUGUAUUUCUUAUACAAUAGAGAAAAAUGACUGUAUAUAAGAGAAGGAAAAAAACAGAGAAGAGAAGCUGAGUUUAUAAAUUGCAUAUUAUAGUCAUUAAAUGCAUGUCUAGUGUCAUAAUGUGAAAGGGUUACAAGAUAGGGGGAAAGGUGGCUUGAUAAGUUUAAGAAGAUUUUGGAAGAAGAGUAUUCUGGAAGAGUAUGAAGUCCAAGAAUUCAUAAACGCAGCAAGCAGAGCCUGAGGAAGCAACUGUUAAAAGGCACCAGUCUGUAAGUGUGAUGAGUUGUGUUUGGAAUAGGCCAUGGAUGUUGCUAUGUGAAGGACAGGGCUUUUAGUGGCAUUUACUCAUGAGCAGUUUGGAAAUCUUGUCUCUGUUUGGAUGAGGCGAGGUUGGGGUGCUAUGAGUUGUAGGAGCAUCAUGGGAUGUAAAUGUUUAGGAAUCACCUUCAUAGAGCCUGUGACUUCCUCUCCCCCAAGACCUGAGCCUUCCUUGUCUACAUAAGAGGCAGAGUCAUGGAAUCCAGUUUCAGAGUCUUAUCUUAAUUAGACAUUUCACAUGUCUCGCUAAGGCUGUGAUGGUUUUAGCUGAAUGAAUCACAGAAUCACAAACUAUUAGAGUUGUCAGGACAGAGAUGAAAUUAUGUCUCCCAAAAGUCUCUAAGCUAAUAACUGGUGGGCCCUGAUAGAGUUGCCAGAUUUAAUCAAUAAAAAUAUUUAAUAAAAAAAAUCAACAAAAAAUAAAAAAUUUAUUUAAUCAAUAAAAAUCAAUAAAAAAUAAUCAAAAAAAAUAAAAAAUUUGGGUUUUAGAUAAGCAAUGAUCAUGUUUAGUGUAACUGGAGAGUCUGUGUUUCACCUGGCACCAUACUAGUCCAUGAUGAAAACCCACUGCCUGGUGACUGAAGACUGUGCAGUUCUCUUCUGAAAGCAGGCCAGUCUGAUUCCCAGAAUGGCCUUACAUAUGAGGGCCUAUAGAGCUUAGUGGCCACCGAGGUCAACCUGGCCCUUGGGGAUAGUUUUUUCAUCUGUAUAAAAGUUACAAAUAGCACCUACUUCACAUUGUUGUUGUGAAGAUUUAAUGAAUUAUUACAAACAAAACAUAUAGGAAAGAUACUUAUUAGGGUCAAAUACCAAACACUGUGAACUAAAUACCUUUAUCUGAACAGUCUGCAGUCACUUCUUCAACUUGUCGCUGACCCACUCCAUUGGUAUGAAAUAGGCUCACAGCCCGGUACCCAGUAUCUCCAGCUUGAUGCAGAGGAAACUAAAAGAAUCCCUCAUCUGCAACAGAAGGGAUGGCACCGAUUUUGAUAAGGCAGUGAGGAUUCUUAUUAACCAUUAUAGCAAAUAUUUGGAAAACUCAGCAGUGGCCACAGGACUGGAAAAGGCCAGUUUUCAUUCGAAACCCAAAGAAGAGCAAUGACAAAAAAUGUUCGAACUAUCACACAAUUGCACUCAUCUCACACGGUAGCAAAGUAAUGCUCAAAAUUCUCCAUGCCAGGCUAAAGUCAGAAUUUCAUGUGAACCAUGAAAUUCCAGAUGUUCAAGCUGGAUUUAGAAAAGGCAGAGGAACCAGAGAUCAAAUUGCCAAUAUCCACUGGAUCAUCGAAAAAGCAAAAGAAUUCCAUAAAAACAUCUACUUCUGCUUUAUUGAUUAUGCCAAGGCCUUUGAUUGUGUAGAUCACAACAAAUUGUGGAAAAUUCUUCAAGAGAUGGGAAUACCAGACCACCUUACCUGCCUCUUGAGAAAUCUGUAUGCAGGUCAAGAAGCAACAGUUAGAACUGGGCAUGGAACAACAGACUGGUCCCAAACUGGGAAAGGAGUACAUCAAGGCUGUAUGUUGUCACCCUGCUUUUUUUAACUCACUUGCAGAGUACAUCAUGAGAAACGCUGGGCUGGACGAAGCACAAGCUGGAAUCAAGAUUGCCAGGAGAAAUAUCAAUAACCUCAGAUAUGCAGAUGACACCACCCUUAUGGCAGAAAGUGAAGAAGAGCCUCCUGAUGAAAGUGAAAAAGGAGAGUGAAAAAGCUGGCUCAAAACUCAACAUUCAAAAAACUAAGAUCAUGGCAUCUGAUAGCAUCACUCCAUGGCAAAUAGAUGGGGAAAUAAUGGAAACAGUGAGAGACUUUAUUUUUGGGGCUCCCAAAUCACUGCAGAUGGUGACUGCAGCCAUGAAAUUAAAAGACGCUCACUCCUUGGAGGAAAAGUUAUGACCAACCUAAACAGCAUAUUAAAAAACAGAGACAUUAUUUUGCCAACAAAGGUCCAUCUAGUCAAGGCUAUGGUUUUUCCAGUAGGCAUGUAUGGAUGUGAGAGUUGGACCAUAAAGAAAGCUGAGCACCAAAGAAUUGAUGCUAUUGAACUGUGGUGUUGGAGAAGACUCUUGAGAGUCGCUUGGACUGCAAGGAGAUUAAACCAGACAAUCCUAAAGGAAAUCAGUACUGAAUGUUCAUUGGAAGGACUGAUGUUGAAGCUGAAACUCCAGUACUUUGGCCACCUGACGCAAAGAACUGACUCGUUUGAAAAGACCGUGAUGUUGGGUAAGACUGAAGGCAGGAGAAGAGGACAGCAGAGGAUGAGAUGGUUGGAUGGCAUCGCUUACUCAAUGGACAAGUUUGAGCAAGCUCCGGGAGUUGGUGAUGGACAAGGAAGCCUGGCGUGCUGCAGUCCAUGGGGUCGCAAAGAGUUGGACGUGACUGAGCGACUGAGCUGAACUGAACUGAACUGAUAGCAAAUAUUCACUCAUGAUAGAAUCAUUAUCUACACAGUACAUUGUAAAUAUUACAUUGUAAUAUUACAUGUAUAUUAUUUACAUUACAAUGUAAAUACUACAUUGUAAAUAUUAAAAGAAAGAUCAACAUUACAGACUCCCUGCAGUGACCACUGGGGUAUUUACAGCAAAUUGCCUUCCUUAGAUUAUCUAAUCCAGAAGUUCAAAACAAGCUAACAAUCAGAAUGACCUGGGGAAUUUUUUUGAAGAUCUUUUUCAUUAUGAAAAUAUUUCAAACAUUCAGCAAAGCUGAAAGAAUUUUAUAGUGAAUGCUUGUAAACUCACAGUCUGGAUUUUACCAUUAACAUUUACAAUAACUGUUUUAUCAGUUAUCUGUCCCUCUAUCCAUCCCUUUACCCAUCCCUUUAUACAUCCUUUUUUCCUUACACAUACUGCCAGGAUCUAUAUAAUUUCCCUGGAGAACUUUCUAAAACUGUAAAUUUCAAGGCCUCAACCCCAGAGGUUCAUAAAACUACUCUGUACAGUAGAGAAAAAUGAUUUUAUAUAAAAGGAGGAAAAAAUAGAAAGGAGAAGUUCAGUUUAUUGCCUAUUAUAAAUUGCCUACUAUAAUCAUUUAAUGCAUGCCUAAGAUCAUGGUGUGACAGGGAAUACUGAUUCAGGAGCUUUUUCAACCUCCUCAGGUGAUUCUGAUGCACAGUGAAGUUCAGCAGCAUAUCAGUCAGAAGAAGCCAGGUUAUGCUGUUGAAGCUAGGUUACGCUGUAGUAACAAGUAAGCUGUUCUAAAAAUCUCUGAAUUAUAGAGUGAUAAAGAUGUUUCUUUUUUGUAUUCUUCCUCCACCUCUUCUUCUUCUUGUUCUGGACUAAUGCUACAUGUCUUGCCUGGGCUUCACUCUGGUAACCAUGUUAAUUGAUCCCCUGAUGUUCAAAAUAUUGCUAGUAUUACAGCAAGGUGAAAAGAUAUACAGUAAACCACGUAUAUUGGCCAUAAAACCCUCUGCCUAAAUGUGACACAUAUCCACCUCUGCCUACAUUUCACUGGCACUUGGGCACUUUUGACACAUUAUUGGCCAGAAGUUUAUUAAUGCAUCUUUUGUUACUCAAAAUUUAUUGACUGGAGACCUUUCACUAUCACUUACAUAAAUCACCAGCCACAGAUGUUAUUAGUAGUUUCUGCAAAAAUCCAUAUGAGUUGAGUUUAAAAGGUGAGGAUGAGUAGUAUUUCCUCACAGAGAAGCACUACUGAAAAGAAGCUGUAAUAUUUAGAAACAUAAUGUAAAAUGCAGAUGUUUCCAGAAAAAUAUCUGCCUCUGUUUCACUGACUACGCCAAAGCCUCUGACUGUGUGGAUCAUAAUAAACCAUGGAAAGCUCUUAAAGAGAUGGGAAUACCAGACCAUCUUACCUGUCUCCUGAGAAACCUGUAUGUGGGUCAAGGAGCAACAGUUAGAACUCUGUAUGGAACAAAUGACUGGUUUGAGACUAAGAAAGGAGUACUUCAGGACUGUCUGCUAUCACCCUGUUUGCUUAAUCUAUACACUGAGCACUUCAUGAGAAGUGCCAGACUGGAUGAGUUCCAAGCUGGAAUCAAGAUAGGCGGGAGAAACAUCAACAACCUCAGAUGUGCGGAUGAUAUCACUCUAAUGACAAAAAGCAAAAAGGAGCUAAAGAGCCUCUUGAUAAGAGUGAAGGAGGAAAGUGAAAGAGGCAGCUUAAACUAAAUAUUAAAAAAAACUAAGAUUGUGGCAUCCAGCCCCAUUAUUUCAUGGGAAAUAGAGAGGGAAAAAGUGGAAGUAGUGACAGAUUUCCUCCUCUUGGGCCCUAAAAUCUCUGCAGAUGGUGACUGCAACCAUAAAAUCAGAAGAUGUUUGCUUCUUGGCAGGAAAGCUGUGGCAAACCUAGGCAGUGUGUUGAAAAGCAGAGCGAUUACUCUGCCGACGAAGUUCCGUAUAGUCAAGGCUGUGGUCUUCCCAGUGGUCGUAAACAGCGGUGAGGGCUGAACUGUAAAGGAGGUAGAGCGUUGAAGAAUUGAUGCCUUCCAACUGUGGUCCUGGAGAAGACUCCUGAGAGUCCCUUGGACAGCAAGGAGAUCAAACCGGUCAGUUUUAAGGGAGAUCAACCCUGAAUACUCUUUGGAAGGGCUGACGCUGAAGCUGAAACUCCAGUGUUUUGGUCAUCUGAUGUGAACAGCUGACUCAUUGGAAAAGUCCCUGAUGCUGGGAGAGAUUGAUGGCAGAAGGAGAAGGGGGUGUCAGAGGAUGAGAUGACUGCAUGGCAUCACUGAUGCAAUGGACAAGAAGAUGGGCAAACUUUGAGAGAUGGUGAGGGAGAGGGAGGCCUGGUGUGCUGCAUGCAGUCCAUGGGGUCUUGAAGAGUGGGACAUGAUUGGGCAUCCGAACAAAACAAUGAUGUAAAAUAGCACAGAAAACCGCUAAUUUAAUAGAGACUCUGAUUUACAGACAAGGAAGCUAGCAUCUGAGGAUACAGAGUGACUCUCCCAAGGUCACCCUGCUACUUCAAACCAGAAAUGGUCUAGAAUCAAGGUCUCCUGACUCCCAAUGUUAUGUUCAAGGCUACCUCCCUGAAGCUCGAUAAUUUAAUAACUAUACACCAGGUAUUGAUAAAUAAGGCACAGUCCUUCUUAACAAAAACUGCUUCUUGGCCUUUUGGCUAAGAUCACAUGUAGUAUGGGGGUUCCCUCAUAGCUCAGUGGUAAAGAAUCUACCUGCCAAUACUGGAGAUGCAAGAGAAACAGGUCCAAUCCCUGGGUCAGGAAGAUCUCCUAGAGUAGGAAAUGGCUACCCAUUCCAGUUAAUAUCCAGAAGAUGUUAAGAAGAGGUGGCAAGAAUACACAGAAGAACUAUACAAAAAAGAUCUUCACGACACAAAUGAUCACGAUGGUGUGAUCACUCACCUAGAGCCAGACAUCCUGGAAUACUAAGUCAAGUGGGCCUUAGAAAGCAUCACUACGAACAAAGCUAGUGGAGGUGAUGGAAUUCCAGUUGAGCUA
This is a long non-coding RNA of Dama dama (fallow deer), 12221 nucleotides long. RefSeq lists it as uncharacterized. Lineage: Eukaryota; Metazoa; Chordata; Mammalia; Artiodactyla; Cervidae. The transcript is spliced from 2 exons. The record is from RefSeq and is a predicted model, not a curated record.